RNAcentral lists this ribosomal RNA (439 nucleotides) under uncultured bacterium. RNAcentral's name for it is "bacterial SSU rRNA". It matches the Rfam family "Bacterial small subunit ribosomal RNA", at positions 954 to 1392 of the family's 1533-position model. The record is from RNAcentral.
GCAAAACGCGAAGAACCUUACCCACCUUUGACAUGUACGGAAUCCUUUAGAGAUAGAGGAGUGCUCGAAAGAGAGCCGUAACACAGGUGCUGCAUGGCUGUCGUCAGCUCGUGUCGUGAGAUGUUGGGUUAAGUCCCGCAACGGGCGCAACCCUUGCCAUUAGUUGCUACAUUUAGUUGAGCACUCUAAUGGGGACUGCCGGUGACAAACCGGAGGAAGGUGGGGAUGACGUCAAGUCCUCAUGGCCCUUAUAGGUGGGGCUACACACGUCAUACAAUGGCUGGUACAAAGGGUUGCCAACCCGCGAGGGGGAGCUAAUCCCAUAAAGCCAGUCGUAGUCCGGAUCGCAGUCUGCAACUCGACUGCGUGAAGUCGGAAUCGCUAGUAAUCGUGGAUCAGAAUGUCACGGUGAAUACGUUCCCGGGUCUUGUACACACCG